UAUUUUUCAUAAAAUGUUUAAUUUAACAGUGACCUAGUUUUACAACAGCUUUCAGUGUCUUGGCUUUUCUUAUCUCCUGUGUCUUAGCCUACAUCAUUAGAACAGCAGAGCAAUAGGCAUUACAGACUUUGUUAAAGCAAAUUAAAUAAGACCUUAGCUGGGGGAUUAAUUCUUCUCUCCUAUUUUGUUUCAGGCAGUCAUUAUGUUACAGUUUCUUUGCAGUUUUAAAGAGGUUUUAGCACAUCUUUUAUUGCACCUAUUAUAGGUUUGGGGUUUUUUUUUAAUGUCAGCUCAAAGCCCUUUCCUUAUUUCAUGGUACAUUUUUGAGUAUCAACCUGUAGCAGCAGUCUUGAAUUCGUCAGCCUUUUCACAGAAGGAUCCUUUGUUUUGUAAACAUUCAAUAACUGUUUGGAACUGAUGGCUAGCUUUACUAGCCAAUUUGGAAGUGUACAGGCAGUACAGACUCAUGCCAGCUUUCAGCAGGAGUAAGUUGUGGGGUGCUGUUAAUUUUACUUACCUUACAUCACCUUCCAGAAGAAAAAAGUUAUUCUGCAUUUUGUCAUUGUGACCAAUAAAUGGCAGGUAAAGUGAUGUUUGCUGUCUCUUUUGCCAUGUGUUACAUACGGUGCUCUCAGAUACUGUUUGAUGGUACCCCUCUGUGAUUCCUUGCUUGUCUUUAUGGAAGUAUGCUUUAAAAACUCCUUGUACUCUACUGUGUGUGCUGUGUUCCAUAAGGAUUCAGCAGAAAAAGGGAGCAAUUAGACAAAUGAUUUCAAAUUUCAACCAUGCAACACCAAAACACAUCAGCAUUGCUGUGCUGAGUCCUUCGUGUGUACCCUUUAAGGAAGGAAACAGCAUAGGAGAUGAUGCCACAUACGCCAGGUUUAUAUGAGUGUGAGUGCUUUCCCUAUAGGGAGAAUUGUCCUAUGGGGAUCUCAGCCCACAGAGGUUUCCAUUGAUCCACAUUAACGUGUGUUGCAGAAAUUGAACAUGUCAUACUGAAAAAUGCAGGUAAUGUACACUGACAGUGUCUGAGCCAUGACUUAAACAGCAUCAAGCCAAAAUGUAUACGUCUACACCUACAAGGAUUAUGCAAGCUAAAAGAACAAAGACGACUCAAUAGGAACCAUUCAGAGCCAGUGUGUGCUGGCCUUGUUGAGCUUCACUUAAUUCCUCCCUUUGUGCAAAGGGAUUUCAGCUGUCUUUGCAAACGUUAAAUUUGUGCCUGCUCUAACACUUCUUAAAUUUUGCGUGACUUCUAACAAACUUCCCAGUGACUUGUUAUGACUGGGGGGGAAAAAAGCCUUGGUGAUGAAUUUCAGGCAUGGAAGAACUUGUGCCUUGAAUCUAGAAAAAUCACAAACCCAAAAGUAUUGAGAAUAUUUUUUUUCUAUAAAGCUAAAAACAUCAGAAGAGCAUUAGUAGCAGUCCCUCUGUUCAUUUUUGUCAAUGAAGAACACUGUGGGAAAGCAAAAUUCAGAGCCUUUGUAAAUUCACCUGGGAAAUUCCAGGAGAGCCUCUUUGCUGGAAGUGUUGAAAAGAGAUUUGUGUAAGAAGCUCUGCCUCACCUUGUCUUACCUAGAGUCCCAAAAUGGACUAAGAGCAAUACAACUAAUCAGAAGAGGAAAGACUCAAUUUCCUCAAUGUCCAGGUUCUUGCUCAACCAUAGCAGAAGCAUCCUUUUCUAUUCUGCAUUGGCAAUCUCAUCUGAACAAGUCAGAGCACUGGCGGAGUGAGGAGGUAAGCACAGUCUCAUACUUUCCUGUGCUAUGGACAGGUCUAUAGAGGGGAUUUUAGGUUUUUCUAUAACAACUAGAAAUAUGCUAAGAUCUCUCUAUGUCUUCUUUCAGUUCAUCAGGAGAUCAGUUUCUUGAUAUCUAACAAUGUUUAUUCUUUUCUGUCUUUUAGUCAAGAAUGGCCUUCUGCCUGGACUCCAUCCAUCUGAUCUGAACUUGUAAAAUUUUUCUGAACAUGGUAGAGUCUCCACUUCUGCCAUGUCAGGUGUCCAAAUAUUAUGAGAACUCAUGGUACUAAGUGGCAGAAAUAUGUGAAUUCCCAUAGAAUUCGGGUUUUCUCCAGCUGGUCUUUAUCUGAUGGUCUGGAAAAGGUGCAGAUGGAGUACUUAUUUUGACUAAAUUGUAACAUCCUUGACUUCUUUCUUCUGUGAUAUUGCAAAAGUUUCCUUUGGAUAUUUUUUCUACUUAAAGUAGGUUUUAUGAUGAUUAAUUACAUAAGCUGUGAUGGGAACUGCUGCGCAGUGGGAAUGAGGAGCCUGAAGUGUGGAGGAUGGCAUGAAAUGUAUUUAAAAAACCCCUUAAAUUCAGCAAAAUACAGUAUGUGCCUUUCAUAGCCCUGAUCAUACUGUUUGUAUGCUGUAUCUCUCUCUCACCACUAUUUAUCUGUGCCUUAUUAAAAUAUGCAUUUUUCGCAGCAGAAACUAUAUCAUCUUCUGCUUUCGAAAAAGCAUUUACCAUAUGGAAGAUGCAAACAUCACCAUAAACCAUGUUUCUUUUCUGCACUUGGAUGAUUUAUAGUACCCACCAACACAGUUCAAGUAUUGAAAUGCAUGUCUAUGUGUUUGGGUAUCUAUUCUAUAUAUAUAUUCACAUCGUGUGCACAUACAUUUUUAUAUAUAAAAUCUUUUCUCUAAAAAAUGUGCAGGGUGUUGAUGAUUUAUCUAAAUCACAUGGUACCACUUCUCCCUCUUUGGCUAAACAUCACAGUGCAUGUUCUGGUUUUGGCAGGGAAGAUUAACAUUUGGCAUUUGCUUUUGGUGAAUACUCAGUUACUUAAUUUUGUUUCUUUUUUUUCCCCUCCCUAUUAACAGCAGUUAAGCCUGAGCAGUCAAACAUUUCUACUAUUUGAAUAAGAAAAGUCCUUAAAAUUCACUUACAAAUUCACGUGACAGUUAAUGUAUUACUUUUCAGUUAUUGUUCCAGCUUGUCUGUUGCUGAGAAAGUACUGCAUAGGGAGGAGAUCUGGCUGAGUGGGGGUCAGUUGUGCAGCACUCACUAAAACGAGUGGGAGGUGGGAGGCAGAAGGACUCAAAAAACAGAUACUAGCCUAGGAAACCUGAUUUUUCCAAGCUCUCACUAGGGACGGUGGGAAAAGACACUUGGAGAUUCAAAGCUGGAGCAUAACCUCAGAUGCUCAGAGCUGUGACAGAAAGAAUCUUACAUUCUCUCUGCUGAGCACAGGAAGCCCAUAAGAGGGUUUGCCUCUCAGGAGUGCAGUCAUCCUUUCCUAGGUUUACGAAUCCCCCUUCCCUAAAAAGCCAGGAAUCCAGAUGCCAGUUUUGCAAAUCUCAGCAGUGUGAAAUAUGAGAUGGAUCCCAGGGCUCAGUUCUGGUCUUAUCUUCCUCCUCUCCAGCCAGAACAAUGCCAUUGGUAGCUUUCAUCUUGAAACACACUCCUUGCUUCAGUAUUCAGCCUGCCAGCCUGUGACAAGAGAGACUGAUACAGCCCAAUUCAAUUUCAAACUGUUCUGCUCUCUUAAACUAGAAUGUGAGAACAAAACAUGUGGACAAUGCAUAAUUCAAAAUCAUGCAUAGGGCCUAUUUAAAAAAACCCCAUGAGUUUAAUUAUUUUUUUUCCCUAAUUGUCUAAGAAAAUGCUUUAAAUCUGCAUCACCGUUAACAACUCCACAAAGCUUUAAAAGGUGUAAUACAUAUCAUGUCAGGAUCUCAAAGAGCAUAUAUGUGUGUGUGUGUAUAUUUAUGUGUAUGUAUGUGUAUAUAUAUAUAUAUAUAUGCUAGUAUAUAAAUGCUAAUGAAACAGCGAGUUCUCAAAUCUACUUGCAGGUAAUUAACUACUGCAGGCAUGGUUGAAAAUCUGCCAUCUUCAACUGCUUGGGCUGAAAUGUUUCACUCUAUGGAUCAGCACAAGGCUGGAUUCUAAUAUUAUUUUUUCCUUUUUUUUAAUGUUUCAGCAAAAUCGGUUUAACUGGCUCCAAGAAGAUUUGAUGAAAAAAGUCUUCUCCCCAUCUUAAAUAUAUUCUUAUAACUGAAUAUGCCAAUGUUUUGAGUCUAUUGGUAAAAAUGUAUCACAGAGAUGGGCCUUGGCGACAAGGAUAUGCUAUUCUGUGAAAAUCUGCCCAAAUUUUGACAAGUUACAAAUUCUGAAAUUUUCAACUUCUUCCUGCUUGCAUUCUUAGGAGAUUGAAUGCUAAAUUCCCCAGAAGCUGAUUGCAAUGAUGUAGAUUCAGAAUGGUAUAUUUAAUUUUAACUAAAUUUGUAAAUUACUGAGUUGAAGAUGGGAGUCUUAUUAUUAUCAUUAUCAAUUUUUAGCCCAGAAAUGGACUGAAAAUCAACAAGUUUAUGCUACUGCUCAAGGUAGGCUCAGCUAGGCCUAAGUUAACAAGUUCUUGAAGACGUUCAGUGCUUUAGAUGCCACAGACACUCCAGGAAAUUUAUUCUGUUUAGUUAAACAUUACCUGUGCAAGGUUUUAUCCUAGUAUUGAAGUUGAAUCUCUUAUUAAAAUUAGAGCUCAUUAUUUCUUGUUGUCCGUCAUGGAUGUAGAAAGCAGAUUACCACUGUUCUCUUUGGAACAGAAUUUCACAUUUUUUAAGACUUUUACUCAUUUUUCUGUGUCAGAUUAGAUAGUAUCAAUUUUCCUGCCUUACAGCUUGUUUUUUUUCAAUGCCUCACCAUUCUCAUUAUCCUCCUCUGGGCCAUCUCCAGUUGUUUCAUAUUUUUGUUGUGUCCACAGUUGUACACACCACUCUUGCUGAUGCCUCACCAGUGCUGAGCAGAGCACUCUGCACCUGCACAGACAGACCAGGGUGGUGUUCCCCUUUUUUGCAUUAUUUUCUCCUGUUCAAUUUUUGAUCUGGGAAAUCUGCUAAAUAUUUUCCCACAGAAUUGACGUGAAAAUAGUUCCUUGCUGUCCUGUGUUUCUGCAGUUUCUUAUUCCUGUCUAAAUGUAGCUCUUAUUCAUAUUGAAUGCUAUGCACAUUUUUCAGAUCAUACCUGCAGUUUAUCAAGAUCACUGAAUAUUAAUCAUCUCUUCUAAAAUCUUUGCAGUCUCAUGCUGCUUGAAAUUAUCUGCAAAUUUAAUGAUUCUUUUUGUGUCAUCAUCCAACUCAUUAAUGAAUGCUACCAGACUUAGAGCAAUCCUUUGUGGAACUUCAUGAAACUCAUCCUUACCUUUUGACAAUGUAAUAUCUGUAACUGCUGUUUGAGCAUGGUCUGCUAAUACAACUCAGCACUAUAUUUUCAGAACAAAUAGUUACAAGUUCAAAAUUUACCUUCUGCAAAACUUUUGUUUAAAACUCAUCCUUUCUUUCUUUUUUUCCCUUCCUUUUUGCCAGGAAAUUAUUUUAUUAAAAUAUUAACAGACUUCAAAGGAGAUUGAGCAGGGGCAAAGCAAAUUUCAUGUUUCAUUCAAAUACAUAAUUGUGGGAAAUAUCUUGAGGUGCACUUCUAUUAGUAUUCACAGAAGAUAGUCUCUUUGUUAGAUACUGCCUAUCUCUCAUGGUCCUCCCUCCCAAAAAGUUUUCUCAGAUUUAGCUCAGCAGCUAAUGGCAAUAACAUGCAGGAAAACAUAAGUAUUGAAAGAUGGAGAAAGAAAGUCCUUAGUAUUCACUGGACCACCUCACUCUGAGUAUAAUCUUUGUAUUUGCAGUGAGUUAGAGAUCUUAUGCUACAGUUUUGCUCCUUUGAACUGGAUGUUGUGCAAAGGAAUAAUAUUCUCCAUGACACAGAGAACAUAGAAACAGCAGAGCAUAUUUAGAAAAGGCUCACAGAUAGCUCAUGUGGUUGUUAGCUAUAAUUUACUCACACAAGCUAAAAAAACAGAGUUCUUUUCACUCUGUUGUAAUCAGCUCCUCAUCCUUUCAGAAUACAAAGAAACAUUUCUCUCUUUCUAGAUGCUCAACUAUUCAGUUUUUGGAAUGAUCAAGAAAAAACAAAAAGUAUUCCCAGUGUCUCUAUCUCUACAGGCUAAGUCUUCCUUGCUUCUCCAUGUCUGAUACACUAACUUACCAAACUGAAUUGUUCUAAGUACAGUACCAAGAAUCAAAGGUGUUGCAACUACCUUUGGAGAGUUAGCCUAGCUGUGAGCUCAUGUCACCUUGAAAUUACAGCUGUGCUUCUGUCCUUUAUUAAAUGUCAUGCUUUUGUUUUGCUUUGUAGCCCUGAAAGCUCUCAGUGAAGAUGAAACUUCUACUGUCCUGUCCACAUCUGCAAGGAGCUGUAUAUUCACUCAGUACUGCCCCUGUGGAUGUAGCUCUCAACGGUCAGUCCAACUCACCAGUCCAUCAGAGCAAGGAUCACAAGCUCAGUGUACACCUUAUCUAACACAGGCACCUGCUGCCAAAAUACUCCCUCCUCACCCAAGUCCUGGCCACACAUUCCCUGCGCUUCCAUCAGAUCAAUCUAGUGGCCAAGCAGCUACAGGACACGUCAAUUUGGCUGGCAGAUCUGAUGGAAAACAAAGGUAACAAACGAAGAUGACUGCAGCUGGAACAGGGGGGCAAGGCUGCCUUUGAAAAAGGCUACUAGGUUUCGGGUCAUUUAGAUGCAACUCAAACUGUUACCUCUGCCUUCUCUCUAUAUAUCUAUCUCCUUCCAACCCCCGGCCUCCAUGCAUAAACCCAUGGCCACAUGUUUUAAGCCAUCUUUUUUUUUUUAAAUUAUUUUCAGCAGUUUUCAUUUUUAAUCUACAGUUUAAAAUCCUAUGCUCCAUGACAAAAAUCAGCCUUGGCUCUACCCUGUCUUCCCCAGCAGUGUGUCUUUUUAAAGACAGAGGCACUUGCUUGGUCUUUGCUAGACCGGUAUAUAUGUUAAUUUUCCAGUCAAUUUCACAGGAAUUUAGAUUAUCAAAAAUGAAUUUCAAACAGAGGUAAAAAUACUCUGCUCAUUCUCCAGCUCAGCCUUGUGGACAAGGACAAUGUAAUCUUAAGAGAAUGGUGACCCAGCUAGUAGAACUGUUCUCCCACACAAAGUGACUGAUUCACCUCAUGACCUCUGCUGGGCAUGAAGGUGGCUGAUGUUGUCUUGUUUAGCUGCUUCUACAGAAAGUUCAGGUAAAAGGGGAUCCCUGAACACUUUUGUUAUUUGAUGUCUGUAUGAAGUGCCCAGUUUUUCACCCAACUCUCAUAUUCUCAUAUUGCCACAACUGUGGCAUUCAUGUCCUGUAGGUUAUUUCUUUCAUUGAGUCCACAUGGAAUUUUGCACUUCUCUGAAAACAAAUGGGAAGAUUUGCAUCAUGUUUACAGGAAAGCUGCUCACUCUCCUUCUAAUGGGGAAAGAAAACAGCAUGUGUCUCGAGUCUGGCACCAAAAAUGCUUACACAUUGAUUUUCUUUACUGUCCAGAAAUUAUAACAACAUUCCUAAACACAUAUUUGGGUCUAGCUUUGCAGAAUUCAUGUUCCAAAUUCAGAAUACAUAGUUCAUAUAUGAACUAUGGCUCACAGUUCAUAUAUGUAGAGUAUAUAAAUACAGUAAAUACAUAAUACAUACAGUUCAUAAGCACAGAAUUCAUAGUUCCUAUUCCCCCCACCAAAGUACUACCUUCUGUAUGCAGCUGUACAGAACAAUCCUGAAGAGGCCGUGGCAAGGAGGCUGGAACUAGAGAUUCCCGUUAACACCUGGAUACUGAAUGCCCUCCCUUUUUGAGAGAGUCCAUUCCCUUCAGGAAUUGCUGCCGUUCCCUCUGGGAGCUUCAGUUGGUACAAAGUUGCCAAUAAAUAUUGUGCUGGAACAAAUGAUGCAUCCGUGAA
Molecule: long non-coding RNA, 7721 nt
Organism: Pseudopipra pipra
Lineage: Eukaryota; Metazoa; Chordata; Aves; Passeriformes; Pipridae
Exons: 3
Source: RefSeq, a predicted model, not a curated record